RNAcentral lists this ribosomal RNA (723 nucleotides) under Vibrio sp. 1A08. Its description in RNAcentral is "bacterial SSU rRNA". It matches the Rfam family "Bacterial small subunit ribosomal RNA", at positions 33 to 735 of the family's 1533-position model. The record is from RNAcentral. Lineage: Bacteria; Pseudomonadati; Pseudomonadota; Gammaproteobacteria; Vibrionales; Vibrionaceae.
ACGCUGGCGGCAGGCCUAACACAUGCAAGUCGAGCGGAAACGACACCAUCGAUUCUUCGGAUGCGUUAAUGGGCGUCGAGCGGCGGACGGGUGAGUAAUGCCUAGGAAAUUGCCUUGAUGUGGGGGAUAACCAUUGGAAACGAUGGCUAAUACCGCAUAAUGCCUACGGGCCAAAGAGGGGGAYCUUCGGGCCUCUCGCGUCAAGAUAUGCCUAGGUGGGAUUAGCUAGUUGGUGAGGUAAUGGCUCACCAAGGCGACGAUCCCUAGCUGGUCUGAGAGGAUGAUCAGCCACACUGGAACUGAGACACGGUCCAGACUCCUACGGGAGGCAGCAGUGGGGAAUAUUGCACAAUGGGCGAAAGCCUGAUGCAGCCAUGCCGCGUGUAUGAAGAAGGCCUUCGGGUUGUAAAGUACUUUCAGUUGUGAGGAAGGGUGUGUAGUUAAUAGCUGCRYAUCUUGACGUUAGCAACAGAAGAAGCACCGGCUAACUCCGUGCCAGCAGCCGCGGUAAUACGGAGGGUGCGAGCGUUAAUCGGAAUUACUGGGCGUAAAGCGCAUGCAGGUGGUUCAUUAAGUCAGAUGUGAAAGCCCGGGGCUCAACCUCGGAACUGCAUUUGAAACUGGUGAACUAGAGUGCUGUAGAGGGGGGUAGAAUUUCAGGUGUAGCGGUGAAAUGCGUAGAGAUCUGAAGGAAUACCAGUGGCGAAGGCGGCCCCCUGGACA